CCUACGGGUGGCAGCAGUGAGGAAUAUUGGUCAAUGGGCGAAAGCCUGAACCAGCCAAGUCGCGUGAAGGAUGAAGGAUCUAUGGUUUGUAAACUUCUUUUAUAUGGGAAUAAAGUCAGGAACGUGUUCCUUUUUGUAUGCACCAUAUGAAUAAGCAUAGGCUAACUCCGUGCCAGCAGCCGCGGUAAUACGGAGGAUGCGAGCGUUAUCCGGAUUUAUUGGGUUUAAAGGGUGCGUAGGUGGUUAAUUAAGUCAGCGGUGAAAGUUUGCGGCUCAACCAUAAAAUUGCCGUUGAAACUGGGUGACUUGAGUAUACUUGAGGUAGGCGGAAUGCGUGGUGUAGCGGUGAAAUGCAUAGAUAUCACGCAGAACUCCGAUUGCGAAGGCAGCUUACUAAACUAUAACUGACACUGAAGCACGAAAGCGUGGGUAUCAAACAGGAUUAGAUACCCUUGUAGUC
This 460-nucleotide ribosomal RNA is filed under the name uncultured bacterium. RNAcentral describes it as "partial 16S ribosomal RNA". It matches the Rfam family "Bacterial small subunit ribosomal RNA", at positions 338 to 795 of the family's 1533-position model. The record is from RNAcentral.